This 253-nucleotide ribosomal RNA is filed under the name uncultured bacterium. Its description in RNAcentral is "partial 16S ribosomal RNA". It matches the Rfam family "Bacterial small subunit ribosomal RNA", at positions 524 to 776 of the family's 1533-position model. The record is from RNAcentral.
UACGUAGGUGGCAAGCGUUAUCCGGAAUUAUUGGGCGCAAAGCGCAUGUAGGCGGCCUUUUAAGUCUGAUGUGAAAGCCAGUGGCUCAACCACUGAAUUGCAUUGGAUACUGGAAGGCUAGAAUCUUGGAGAGGUAAGUGGAAUUUCAUGUGUAGCGGUGGAAUGCGUAGAUAUAUGAGGGAACACCAAUGGCGAAGGCAGCUUACUGGACAAGUAUUGACGCUGAGAUGCGAAAGUGUGGGUAGCAAACAGG